Molecule: ribosomal RNA, 389 nt
Filed under: Streptococcus mitis
Lineage: Bacteria; Bacillati; Bacillota; Bacilli; Lactobacillales; Streptococcaceae
Description: bacterial SSU rRNA
Rfam family: Bacterial small subunit ribosomal RNA
Source: RNAcentral
GACGAACGCUGGCGGCGUGCCUAAUACAUGCAAGUAGAACGCUGAAGGAGGAGCUUGCUUCUCUGGAUGAGUUGCGAACGGGUGAGUAACGCGUAGGUAACCUGCCUGGUAGCGGGGGAUAACUAUUGGAAACGAUAGCUAAUACCGCAUAAGAGUAGAUGUUGCAUGACAUUUGCUUAAAAGGUGCAAUUGCAUCACUACCAGAUGGACCUGCGUUGUAUUAGCUAGUUGGUGAGGUAACGGCUCACCAAGGCAACGAUACAUAGCCGACCUGAGAGGGUGAUCGGCCACACUGGGACUGAGACACGGCCCAGACUCCUACGGGAGGCAGCAGUAGGGAAUCUUCGGCAAUGGACGGAAGUCUGACCGAGCAACGCCGCGUGAGUGAA